RNAcentral lists this ribosomal RNA (460 nucleotides) under uncultured bacterium. RNAcentral describes it as "partial 16S ribosomal RNA". It matches the Rfam family "Bacterial small subunit ribosomal RNA", at positions 338 to 795 of the family's 1533-position model. The record is from RNAcentral.
CCUACGGGUGGCAGCAGUGAGGAAUAUUGGUCAAUGGGCGCGAGCCUGAACCAGCCAAGUAGCGUGAAGGAUGACGGCCCUACGGGUUGUAAACUGCUUUUAUAAAGGAAUAAAGUGAGGCACGUGUGCCGCUUUGUAUGUACUUUAUGAAUAAGGAUCGGCUAACUCCGUGCCAGCAGCCGCGGUAAUACGGAGGAUCCGAGCGUUAUCCGGAUUUAUUGGGUUUAAAGGGAGCGUAGAUGGGUUGUUAAGUCAGUUGUGAAAGUUUGGGGCUCAACCGUAGCAUUGCAAUUGAUACUGGCAGCCUUGAGUACAGUGGAGGUAGGCGGAAUUCGUGGUGUAGCGGUGAAAUGCUUAGAUAUCACGAAGAACUCCGAUUGCGAAGGCAGCUUACUAAACUGCAACUGACGUUGAUGCUCGAAAGUGUGGGUAUCGAACAGGAUUAGAUACCCGGGUAGUC